UUACUGGGCGUAAAGGGUGCGUAGGCGGACCGAUUAGUCGGAUGUGAAACCCCACAGCUUAACUGUGGGCCGCCAUUCGAAACUGUCGGUCUUGAGUGCAGGAGAGGAGAGUGGAAUUCCUGGUGUAGCGGUGAAAUGCGUAGAUAUCAGGAGGAACACCGGUGGCGAAGGCGGCUCUCUGGACUGACACUGACGCUGAGGCACGAAGGCCGGGGGAGCAAACAGGAUUAGAUACCCUGGUAGUCCCGGCGGUAAACGAUGGGCACUAGGUGUCGGGGGUAUCGACCCCCUCGGUGCCGCAGUUAACACAUUAAGUGCCCCGCCUGGGGAGUACGGCCGCAAGGUUGAAACUCAAAGGAAUUGACGGGGGCCCGCACAAGCGGUGGAGUAUGUGGUUUAAUUCGACGCAACGCGAAGAACCUUACCAGGGCUUGACAUCCUCGGAACCCUGUAGAAAUACGGGGGUGCCUUCGGGAACCGAGUGACAGGUGCUGCAUGGUUGUCGUCAGCUCGUGUCGUGAGAUGUACGGUUAAGUCCGGAAACGAGCGCAACCCUUAUUCUGUGUUGCAAUUUCACAGAAGACUGCCAUCUUUAAGAUGGAGGAAGGUGGGGAUGACGUCAAAUCAGCAUGGCUCUUACGCCCUGGGCGACACACGUGCUACAAUGGCCAGUACAGAGGGUUGCCAAACCGAAAGGUGGAGCUAAUCUUGCAAAUCUGGUCCAAGUUCGGAUUGAGGUCUGCAAUUCGACCUCAUGAAGUCGGAAUCGCUAGUAACCGU
RNAcentral lists this ribosomal RNA (780 nucleotides) under uncultured Latescibacterota bacterium. RNAcentral describes it as "bacterial SSU rRNA". It matches the Rfam family "Bacterial small subunit ribosomal RNA", at positions 551 to 1345 of the family's 1533-position model. The record is from RNAcentral. Lineage: Bacteria; Pseudomonadati; Candidatus Latescibacterota.